UGUAAGCAAUGGAGAGACGCAGGAAGGUAGCCGAACCGCGGCGAUGGUUGUUCCGCGGGUAAGGGUGUAGGGCGAGGUGUAGGCAAAUCCGCACCUCAUGUGCCUGAGACCUGACACGGACCCGUAAGGGGAAGUCGGUGAUCCUAUGCUGCCAAGAAAAUCUUCUAGCGAGGUUCUAGCCGCCCGUACCCCAAACCGACUCAGGUGGUUAGGUAGAGAAUACCAAGGCGAUCGAGUGAAUCGUGGUUAAGGAAUUCGGCAAAAUACCCCCGUAACUUCGGGAGAAGGGGGGCCCAGAGGGUGACGGGACUUGCUCCCCGAGCCUGAACGGCCGCAGAGACCAGGGAGAAGCGACUGUUUACUAAAAACACAGGUCCGUGCCAAGUCGCAAGACGAUGUAUACGGACUGACGCCUGCCCGGUGCUGGAACGUUAAGGGGACCGGUUAGCCUCACGGCGAAGCUGAGAACUUAAGCGCCAGUAAACGGCGGUGGUAACUAUAACCAUCCUAAGGUAGCGAAAUUCCUUGUCGGGUAAGUUCCGACCUGCACGAAUGGCGUAACGACUUCUCCACUGUCUCAACCACGAACUCGGCGAAAUUGCACUACGAGUAAAGAUGCUCGUUACGCGCAGAAGGACGGAAAGACCCCGGGACCUUUACUACAGCUUGGUAUUGGUGUUCGGUACGGCUUGUGUAGGAUAGGUGGGAGACUGUGAAGCUGACACGCCAGUGCCGGUGGAGUCAACGUUGAAAUACCACUCUGGUCGUUCUGGAUAUCUAACCUAGGUCCGUAAUCCGGAUCAGGGACAGUGCCUGGUGGGUAGUUUAACUGGGGCGGUUGCCUCCUAAAAGGUAACGGAGGCGCCCAAAGGUUCCCUCAGCCUGGUUGGCAAUCAGGUUUCGAGUGUAAGUGCACAAGGGAGCCUGACUGUGAGACUGACAAGUCGAACAGGGACGAAAGUCGGGACUAGUGAUCCGGCGGUGGCUUGUGGAAGCGCCGUCGCUCAACGGAUAAAAGGUACCCCGGGGAUAACGGGCUGAUCUUGCCCAAGAGUCCAUAUCGACGGCAUGGUUUGGCACCUCGAUGUCGGCUCGUCGCAUCCUGGGGCUGGAGUAGGUCCCAAGGGUUGGGCUGUUCGCCCAUUAAAGCGGUACGCGAGCUGGGUUUAGAACGUCGUGAGACAGUUCGGUCCCUAUCCUCUGCGCGCGCAGGAAACUUGAGAAGGGCUGUCCCUAGUACGAGAGGACCGGGAUGGACGAACCUCUGGUGUGUCAGUUGUUCUGCCAAGAGCACCGCUGAUUAGCUACGUUCGGGAGUGAUAACCGCUGAAAGCAUCUAAGCGGGAAGCAUGCUUCAAGAUGAGGUUUCCAUGGGGUUUACCC
Molecule: ribosomal RNA, 1383 nt
Filed under: metagenome
Description: bacterial LSU rRNA
Rfam family: Bacterial large subunit ribosomal RNA
Source: RNAcentral